UACGUAGGGGGCAAGCGUUAUCCGGAUUUACUGGGUGUAAAGGGAGCGUAGACGGCAGGGCAAGUCUGGAGUGAAAGGCAGGGGCCCAACCCCUGGACUGCUCUGGAAACUGUCCGGCUGGAGUGCAGGAGAGGUAAGUAGAAUUCCUAGUGUAGCGGUGAAAUGCGUAGAUAUUAGGAGGAACACCAGUGGCGAAGGCGGUUUACUGGACUGUAACUGACGUUGAGGCUCGAAAGCGUGGGGAGCAAACAGG
RNAcentral lists this ribosomal RNA (253 nucleotides) under uncultured bacterium. RNAcentral's name for it is "partial 16S ribosomal RNA". It matches the Rfam family "Bacterial small subunit ribosomal RNA", at positions 524 to 776 of the family's 1533-position model. The record is from RNAcentral.